Molecule: long non-coding RNA, 540 nt
Filed under: Hordeum vulgare
Lineage: Eukaryota; Viridiplantae; Streptophyta; Magnoliopsida; Poales; Poaceae
Description: long non-coding RNA (HVUL_LNC003590)
Source: RNAcentral
UGCAACAAAGCGAUUAUUUCAGAAACUCGAGCGUUGUUUCAGAAAUUACCGGGUGCCUAGCCGAAGCGCGCGCGAAGAAAAAAACUGCAACAAAGCGAUUCUUUCAGAAACUCGAGCGUUAUUUCAGGAAUUACCGGGUACCCAGCCGAAGCGCGCGCGAAGAAAAAAAAAUGCAACAAAGCGAUUGUUUCAGAAACUCGAGCAUCGUUUCGGGAAUUAGGCCAAAGCCCCACAUGCGGAUCGGAUGGAUGCACCAAAUCAAACGGCUCUGAAGGUGACGGAUCAUUGGAAAUAAUCCACCGGUGGACGUGUAGCGUUGCCCUUUCAAUAAUGACAAAAGCAUGAAUAGUGUCAAAAAAUACACUAUCCACAUUUGGAUUUGUCUUUCUUGUUUCUCUUUGUGUAUUCCAAUGUAAGUGGCGGUGGAAACCACUUGUCCCAUAUACGGCAUCCACUAAAAAUAGUCUAAAUGGCGGAUGUGGAUGACCACUUAAUUCAUAUGAAAAUGUGGCUUCUCAAAGUACCAUGACACAUCCAUGN